GACAGAGGGUGCAAACGUUGUUCGGAUUUACUGGGCGUAAAGCGUGUGUAGGCGGCUUGGCAAGUUGGAUGUGAAAUCCCGCGGCUCAACCGUGGACGUGCAUCCAAAACUGCUUCGCUAGAGUCUCGGAGAGGAAGGUGGAAUGCUUGGUGUAGAGGUGAAAUUCGUAGAUAUCAAGCAGAACACCUGCGGCGAAGGCGGCCUUCUGGACGAUGACUGACGCUGAGACACGAACGCGUGGGGAGCAAACAGG
Molecule: ribosomal RNA, 253 nt
Filed under: uncultured bacterium
Lineage: Bacteria
Description: partial 16S ribosomal RNA
Rfam family: Bacterial small subunit ribosomal RNA
Source: RNAcentral